RNAcentral lists this ribosomal RNA (269 nucleotides) under uncultured prokaryote. RNAcentral describes it as "partial 16S ribosomal RNA". It matches the Rfam family "Bacterial small subunit ribosomal RNA", at positions 524 to 792 of the family's 1533-position model. The record is from RNAcentral.
UACGAAGGGUGCAAGCGUUAAUCGGAAUUACUGGGCGUAAAGGGUGCGUAGGCGGUCUGUUAAGUUGGAUGUGAAAGCCCCGGGCUCAACCUGGGAAUGGCAUCCGGAACUGUCAGGCUAGAGUGCAGGAGAGGAAGGUAGAAUUCCCGGUGUAGCGGUGAAAUGCGCAGAUAUCAGGAGGAACACCAAUGGCGAAGGCAGGUCUCUGGGCAGUUACUGACGCUCAUGCGCGAAAGCUGGGGUAGCGAACCGGAUUAGAUACCCGUGUA